CAGCCCUAUUGGUCCACUUUAAUUCAUUUCAUUGGGCUAGUGUCAACCAUACCCACUACGGAUAAAGAUGUUGCCAGAUGAAGCCCAGAAGUGAGCUUCACCAGACUCUGUAGCUCAGAGUCAGAAACACGCAUGGAAAACUAGGUCAUGGAUAUUCUAAUUUUGGUCUUCAGGGAGGCUGCUGACCUAAAGCGAGUUGCUGAGUUAGACCCUAUUUGAAAAGGAAAAUGUGAAAAACAGGAAGGCACUGAGGUCUUGUUAUCUACAUAACAAAUAUUCAGGCACAGAAAAUAUCAUAGGUUAAAAUUUCAAGAAGAGUAAGGCAUUAGUUGGAUCAUGAGAAGGCAGAAGAUUAUGUUUUCUAACUUGUAAGGAUCACUGGAUCCUACUGGAUUAUGAAGUGAAUGGCAGUAAUCCACUAACUCCUUAAACAGUGGGAAAAGAGUUUGCUGAAAAUCUGCCCACAUACUUGUACACUCCAUGGCCAUACCCUGGAAUUCUUCCCUUAACAUAAAAUGACCAACAUUUUGGAGUAGGCAGUUGAG
RNAcentral lists this long non-coding RNA (545 nucleotides) under Homo sapiens (human). Its description in RNAcentral is "non-protein coding lnc-TFEC-15:1". The record is from RNAcentral. Lineage: Eukaryota; Metazoa; Chordata; Mammalia; Primates; Hominidae.